This 429-nucleotide ribosomal RNA is filed under the name uncultured bacterium. RNAcentral describes it as "bacterial SSU rRNA". It matches the Rfam family "Bacterial small subunit ribosomal RNA", at positions 335 to 755 of the family's 1533-position model. The record is from RNAcentral.
ACUCCUACGGGAGGCAGCAGUGGGGAAUAUUGCACAAUGGGCGCAAGCCUGAUGCAGCCAUGCCGCGUGUGUGAAGAAGGCCUUCGGGUUGUAAAGCACUUUCAGUUGUGAGGAAGGUGGUGUCGUUAAUAGCGGCAUCAUUUGACGUUAGCAACAGAAGAAGCACCGGCUAACUCCGUGCCAGCAGCCGCGGUAAUACGGAGGGUGCGAGCGUUAAUCGGAAUUACUGGGCGUAAAGCGCAUGCAGGUGGUUUGUUAAGUCAGAUGUGAAAGCCCGGGGCUCAACCUCGGAACUGCAUUUGAAACUGGCAGACUAGAGUACUGUAGAGGGGGGUAGAAUUUCAGGUGUAGCGGUGAAAUGCGUAGAGAUCUGAAGGAAUACCGGUGGCGAAAGGCGGCCCCCUGGACAGAUACUGACACUCAGAUGCG